UACAGAGGUCCCAAGCGUUGUUCGGAUUCACUGGGCGUAAAGGGUGCGUAGGUGGUGAGGUAAGUCGGAUGUGAAAGCUCGGAGCUCAACUCCGAAAUGGCAUUGGAAACUACCUUGCUCGAGGGUUGGAGGGGGGACUGGAAUGCUUGGUGUAGCAGUGAAAUGCGUAGAGAUGUGGAGGAACACCAAUGGCGAAGGCAGCCUUCUGGGCCAACACUGACGCUCAUGCACGAAAGCGUGGGGAGCAAACAGG
RNAcentral lists this ribosomal RNA (253 nucleotides) under uncultured bacterium. Its description in RNAcentral is "partial 16S ribosomal RNA". It matches the Rfam family "Bacterial small subunit ribosomal RNA", at positions 524 to 776 of the family's 1533-position model. The record is from RNAcentral.